AUCGCUUCUCGGCCUUUUGGCUCAGAUCAAGUGUAGUAUCUGUUCUUAUCAGUUUAAUAUCUGAUACGUCCCCCAUCAGGGGACUACAUAUUAAAUGGAUUUUUCGAACAGGGAGUCGGAAAUGGGGCUUGCUCCGUCCACUCCACGCAUCGACCCGGUAUUGCAGUACCUCCGGGAACGGUGCAACACUU
Molecule: small nuclear RNA, 191 nt
Filed under: Salmo salar (Atlantic salmon)
Lineage: Eukaryota; Metazoa; Chordata; Actinopteri; Salmoniformes; Salmonidae
Description: U2 spliceosomal RNA
Rfam family: U2 spliceosomal RNA
About the family: U2 is a small nuclear RNA (snRNA) component of the spliceosome (involved in pre-mRNA splicing). Complementary binding between U2 snRNA (in an area lying towards the 5' end but 3' to hairpin I) and the branchpoint sequence (BPS) of the intron results the bulging out of an unpaired adenosine, on the BPS, which initiates a nucleophilic attack at the intronic 5' splice site, thus starting the first of two transesterification reactions that mediate splicing.
Source: Rfam by way of RNAcentral